This 513-nucleotide ribosomal RNA is filed under the name Melanargia leda. Its description in RNAcentral is "partial 16S ribosomal RNA". The record is from RNAcentral. Lineage: Eukaryota; Metazoa; Arthropoda; Insecta; Lepidoptera; Nymphalidae.
GUCUUUUUGAAAUAAUUUAAAGUCUAAUCUGCCCACUGAUAAAAAUUAAAGGGCUGCAGUAUAAUGACUGUACAAAGGUAGCAUAAUCAAUAGUUUUUUAAUUGGAAACUUGUAUGAAAGAUUUGAUGAAAUAUAAACUGUCUCUAUUUUAUAAAUUGAAUUUUAUUUUUUAGUAAAAAAGCUAAAAUAAAUUUAAAAGACGAGAAGACCCUAUAGAGUUUUAUAUUUAAUUUUAUUUGAAAAUUAUAUAAAAAUUACUAUUUAAAUAAAAUUAAUUAUUAUGUUGGGGUGACAGAAAAAUUAAAUUAACUUUUUUUAAAAAUUAAACAUAAAUAAAUGAUUAUAUGAUCCAUAAAUAAUGAUUAUAAGAAAAAAUUACCUUAGGGAUAACAGCGUAAUAUUUUUUUUUAGUUCAAAUAAAAAAGAAAGUUUGCGACCUCGAUGUUGGAUUAAGAUAAAAUUUAAAUGCAAAAGUUUAAAAUUUUUGAUCUGUUCGAUCAUUAAAAUCUUACA